GACGUAGGGCGCGAGCGUUGUCCGGAUUUAUUGGGCGUAAAGAGCUCGUAGGCGGCUUGUCGCGUCGACUGUGAAAGCCCGGGGCUCAACCCCGGGAGGCGGGUGGAUACUGUCAAGCUCGAGUCCGGAAGAGGAGUGUGGAAUUCCUGGUGUAGCGGUGAAAUGCGCAGAUAACAGGAGGAACACCAAUGGCGAAGGCAGCACUCUGGGACGUGACUGACGCUGAGACGCGAAAGCGUGGGGAGCAAACAGG
RNAcentral lists this ribosomal RNA (253 nucleotides) under uncultured bacterium. Its description in RNAcentral is "partial 16S ribosomal RNA". It matches the Rfam family "Bacterial small subunit ribosomal RNA", at positions 524 to 776 of the family's 1533-position model. The record is from RNAcentral.